RNAcentral lists this long non-coding RNA (1424 nucleotides) under Homo sapiens (human). RNAcentral describes it as "HSALNT0279131". The record is from RNAcentral. Lineage: Eukaryota; Metazoa; Chordata; Mammalia; Primates; Hominidae.
AAGCCGCUCCUCCGGAUGGCGACAGAGACGGCCUGACGCGCCCGCAGCCUGGGCCCCCCACGGGGAGGACGGCCGGGCCAGGUGAAGUUCGCGCACUUGGGCCUUCCGCGCCCCCAUCCACCGCAGCCAGGGCCUGGAAGGCUGGGGAGGGGGCGGGGGCGGCAGACGCCUCCUAAGGUGGGUUCUGGGACUUGGAUCCGGAGUUUAUUCCAAGGAGAGGGUGCUCUGGGCCUGUUCCCUAGGUGUGCCCUGUUACCCAAAAUCGGGCUUGUGCAGUGGGGUCCCUGAGUCCACUGGGAGCACAGCCUCAGACCCCAGCAGAGUCACCCUUCAUCGGAAGCCCACCACCCUGAGGGCUCCUCCUCCACCUGGGGCGGCACUGCCAGGCACAGGCACGCACUUUCCCUCAGUCCUCUGCCCCACGAUCACUCUACUCGGGCACCUCUGCCACUGCCUGGUCCUUGCUGAGCCAUCUCCUGGUUCAUCUCCCUGGAGUCCCUGCAGGACCGGCUCUCAGUGGCGUCUCCGGGCUCCCAGUCCCAGGACUGGUCCUAUCCAGCCCAGGAGAUACGCUCCCCAGUCCAGGAUGUCCAGAUGGCCCUGCUGCCUGGAGAGGCUCUGGCCCCUGCCGGUAGCUGCCACAGCACCACCCCAAGCUCUGCCUUCCUGCAGGGAGGUGAUUCUGCAGAAGUUGGGGCUCCUGACAACUUUGGGGUGGCCAUGAGGGACGUACCUCUUGCCUCUGGAUGUGCAGGGUGGGCCUGGGACCCUGGCAGGGAGGGGCUCCCUCAAUGGGAUUCUGUGGAGUCAGCCAUUGAUGCCCAGGUCUCCACCCUUACAAUUUCAUUCCUUUCAUUGAAGCCUUUUUUCCUGCUAAAAAGGAUGUGGCUUUUAAAAUGUUACAGAUUCCAAUUCAUCCUGUCCAUCCCGAACUCCUGUGCCAGACAUUCCUUCAUUCAACCUCUGUUUAUUGAGCAACUACUUGGGCCAGGCACUGGGACUGGGGAAGCCAACAAGACAUAGAUUUUCUGUCCCCCUGGAAAGUGACAGUCAGUUUGAGAAACAGACAAGGAAACAAACAAUUCCAGUGCAGUGUGGCAAGCGUCACGAUGGGAGGGAGAGGAGAGCACUCUUGGAGCACAAGAGAGGAGCAUUUACCCUAAAAUCACACUCUAGAACACAGCAAGGUGUGUGCCAGGGAAGGCUUCCAGGAGACUGGUUUCCAGGCCCUUUUGGUCCAUCCUUAGGACAAACACACACACACAUGCACACAUAUAUGCACAUACAUGAACACACACACGCACGUGAACACACAGGCACACACAUCCACACACACGCACAUACAUGCACACACAUGCUUUAACACACAUGCACACACGCAUGCACAAACAUGCUUGGAGUGAAACUUUCCGAAGCAAUAUUUA